CGUAGGGUGCGAGCGUUGUCCGGAAUUACUGGGCGUAAAGAGCUCGUAGGUGGUUUGUCGCGUUGUUCGUGAAAACUCACAACUCAAUUGUGGGCGUGCGGGCGAUACGGGCAGACUGGAGUACUGCAGGGGAGACUGGAAUUCCUGGUGUAGCGGUGGAAUGCGCAGAUAUCAGGAGGAACACCGGUGGCGAAGGCGGGUCUCUGGGCAGUAACUGACGCUGAGGAGCGAAAGCGUGGGGAGCGAACAGGAUUAGAUACCCUGGUAGUCCACGCCGUAAACGGUGGGUACUAGGUGUGGGUUUCCUUCCUUGGGAUCCGUGCCGUAGCUAACGCAUUAAGUACCCCCGCCUGGGGGAGUACGGCCGCAAGGCUA
This 375-nucleotide ribosomal RNA is filed under the name uncultured organism. Its description in RNAcentral is "bacterial SSU rRNA". It matches the Rfam family "Bacterial small subunit ribosomal RNA", at positions 526 to 896 of the family's 1533-position model. The record is from RNAcentral.